Molecule: long non-coding RNA, 351 nt
Organism: Mus musculus (house mouse)
Lineage: Eukaryota; Metazoa; Chordata; Mammalia; Rodentia; Muridae
Product: predicted gene, 35133
Exons: 4
Source: RefSeq, a predicted model, not a curated record
GGCGUGUGGAUGUGGCAAGUGGUUGGGAUGGCUGGAAAGCCUAUCUCCACUAGUACAUCCUGUGCUCCAGCCCAGAGUGAUGCUGUGGUCACCAUCUGGAUGGGGGAAGGAAACUUGGGGGAGUGAGCUCUUUAUUCACUUCCACCAUGUAGGGUUAAGGCUGGAACUCUGGCUGUGGCUUUGUGAAACACUGGCUGGCUGACCUCCAUCUCUAACCCAGCAUUCUCUGCUCCUCCAACGUUCACCACUUGAAUGGAUAUUACCUGGAGCUCCAAGCCAAAAAGUUUUAUACUUCACCUUUAAAUGCUUCUUUUCCUUCUCUUAAAACUCUGACACCACAAAGCAACCUAA